Ailuropoda melanoleuca (giant panda) is the source of this 2064-nucleotide long non-coding RNA. RefSeq lists it as uncharacterized. NCBI's taxonomy places the organism in Eukaryota, Metazoa, Chordata, Mammalia, Carnivora, Ursidae. The transcript is spliced from 2 exons. The record is from RefSeq and is a predicted model, not a curated record.
CUUGAACGCCGGCGACCCCACGCCACGCAGAGGUGAGGAUACGCAGGACGUCCUCUAAUGCCACUUCCGUGGGUGCUAGGUUAGAAGCUGGGGGCGGUGCUGACCUUGAGAACGCGCGAGGGAGGCGCAGGCGCAGCACAGGCUGACCGUCCUUGGACACUUCCGGAUCUCCACAGACCUGUCUGUUCCUGUGUCGUCUCUUUCACCUGCUUUAGUGCGUCCUGCAGCUCUCCCCUUCCUCAGGGCAGUGGAAUAUGAUACUGAGACAUUUCUUCUCUAUUCAUAUGUACUGGUGGAAACCAGAAGAACAUCUACCAAGACCAGAGAAACCAGGAGGAGAAUUCUGCCUAUUGGAAAAUACAUUCCAAUAUGGACGGUUUCCUUUUAUUUAAAAAAAUAUGUAUCAGCUGAAAAAACGUGAAACCCAUGUACCCCUUAAAUUUGUGUUGUUUUCCUCAAAAUUUGUACCCUUCAACUCUGCCUUUUUAUUUGGCUAUAAGUCACAGUACUGGAGGCAGGGUUGAAGUGGAUAUACAGAACACCUUUAACCCAGAAAUUAGUCUCACAACUUGGGGAUCUUUGCUUAAGUCGUGACUGUAUCUACAAUUUCAUUUAUAGUAUCUCUUUUUGCCACUGUCUAGUUUUAUCAUAAAGCUGGAAUUGAAGAGCUAAACUAGGAAAGUUUCACAAGAGGUUAAGAAGUUUGGGCAGGUGGGCGUGUCUAUGGGUGUUUGUUUCACCCUCCUUGUCAAAGUACCUGGAGAGCAUGAUAUCCAAUCUAUAAAUGGUUAGAAGACCCUUGGAAUCACUUCUUAUCCAGAAGCAGCAUGCACAGGGCAAUUGCUUUAUAUUAGAAAGGCGGCUAGAGACUGAGUGUAUAAGUUGUUUUUACUUCAAAUUUUCUUCUGGGGGGUGAUGAAUAAUGUGGCAGACAAGAUAGAGGAAUUAUUAAGUACUAACAUUGGAAACAGCUGGAGGUGGGGAAGGGCUGGGAAAUAGUUCAUGAAACAGACCUGCUGAGAAUCAAUCCAGAACUUCCCUGAGGGUUCUACCUCUGCUGUAUAGGGACCACGUUGUAAAUAGACAAGCCCCAGGGCAUCUGCAGAUGCUAAGCGUGGUAGAGAAGUAUUGGAGUCGUUCUGCUUGUGUAUCUGUGGGAAGCAGCUGCUAUCCUUGAGGACGAAAAGGUGGAGAAGGAAACUGGCUAUCAGUCUGUCAGUGACAACAUAUUCUGUGAAGUCUUACUCUUUCAUUUCUGACACUUUGGUUCUUACAUCAGUCCUAAACCUGGCAGCCUCAUUGAGGUUCACAAAGCGUCUCCUCCUAUGUGACAAUAAGACUGGAAUUAUUAUCAGUAUGGAAUCCAUUCCUGCCAGAGUAAAGCCACAAAGGAAAUCACAGUCAGUAUUCGUUAUCUGCUUAUCAUUUUUAAUAGAUCAUGGGGUUCUGUGUUCCUUAUUUGGUAUUUGACAAGUUCAUAAAUAACCCUUGGUUAAUAUCCUUUAAUAUUCCAAUUUCUAUUACAAUGUGAAAAAUCUGUUACAAGUAACGUUUUUUAAAGAUUAAAAGGCAUACCAUAUGUUUAAAAGCAGCAUCUCCCAAUGUUUUUUAUCCCACAGAAUAAUUAUAAUGUUUUGUAUUGUUUACAUGUGUUGAAGUUGAGCGAUUUACCUAUUUCCAUUUCUUAAAGUAGAUGAGAGUCUUUGACAGAGAUGCAAGAAAGGGGAAAAUUACGAAAGGGAAUGAAAUAUGUGCAUGAUGGAGAUUAGGAAGAAAUUCAGUAGUCUUAAAAGGGAAUUAGGAGUCCAAUCGUCUUGGUUAGCAACCAAUUGAGUUGUAAUUCCCUGAGUGAGAACUGUUCUCAAAUACUUAAGAACACCAACAAAAAGUUAUGUCCUCCUUCAACACCCACACUGACCUGGAACAUUUUCAGCCAUUAACACCUAUCACUGUUUUAAAGGCCAGCUCCAUAUUCUUUGUAAAAUGUUUUCCUGAUUAACUCCCCUUCUGAGAAAUUUCUAUUACUUUUUCUUUUCUUUAAUAAAUAUGAAUAUUAUGUGCUUA